This 478-nucleotide long non-coding RNA is filed under the name Homo sapiens (human). RNAcentral's name for it is "non-protein coding lnc-CYP2C8-5:1". Lineage: Eukaryota; Metazoa; Chordata; Mammalia; Primates; Hominidae. The record is from RNAcentral.
AGCUUCAAGAACUAACAAUUUCCUGGUCCAACAGUCUUUUAUGAUUAGCAUGCAUCAUAGCAUUUAUAGUAAAAGCACCUCUCUAUGGAAUCCACCUAGAACUCCCAAAAGCCCAUGUAGAGGUCCCGAUUGCUGGGCCAAUAGUCUCCACAGCAGUACUCCUAAAAUUAGGUGGCUAUGGGAUUAUAAGAAUCACCCUAAUCCUUAACCCCUUAACAGAGUUUAUAGCUUAUUCCUCCCUCAUACUAUCCCUAUGAGGAAUAAUCAUAACAAGCUCAAUUUUUCUGUGCCAAACUGAUCUAAAAUCACUCAUUACUUAUUCCUCCAUAAGCCACAUGUCACUUAUUAUCAUGGCUAUUCUCAUUAAAACCCCCUGAAGUUUUACCGGUGCAACUGCCCUAAUAAUUACCCAUGGACUAACCUCAUCCCUAUUAUUCUGCCUUGCAAAUUCCAACUACAAACAAGUACACAACUAAAC